Molecule: non-coding RNA, 1165 nt
Organism: Alligator mississippiensis (American alligator)
Lineage: Eukaryota; Metazoa; Chordata; Crocodylia; Alligatoridae
Source: the annotation of a RefSeq genome assembly
UGACCUGCCAAAUUCACGGGCACAGGAAGCAGAAGGAAUAAGAGCACGCCCAGACCAGCAGCAGCCAGUGAGCAGGGGCAGAUUUGCAUGAAGGGGCUGUUCUCAGCUCUGGGCAUUUAAGAGAGACUUGGAUGAUCCCAGUUACAGCCUGUUCACUUCAGGAAGCCGAGCUGGCCUGGAUUCCCACCAUGGCCUGUGCCCUUCUCCUUCUUGUUCUGCUCGCAUACAGCUCAGAGGUCCGGUCACAGCCUGUGGUGACUCAGGAGCCUUCAGUGUCUUCGGUGUCCCCAGGAGGGACUGUCACUCUGUCCUGCAGCCUGAGCACCGGAGCCAUCACCACCAGCAACUAUCCCUCCUGGUACCAGCAGAAACCUGGCUCUGCCCCUCAGCUGCUUAUUCAUGAAACUAAUAAGAGACCCUCUGGGAUCCCCACCCGGUUCUCCGGGUCCAUCUCUGGUCAGAAGGCCGCCUUAACCAUCACCGGGGCCCAAGCUGAGGACGAGGCCGACUACUACUGUAUGGUGUAUACUGGCAGCAGCAGUGCGUUACGACACUGUGUUUCAUCUUGAUGAGGAACUGAGACACAAACCUCCCUCUUCUCUUGUCUCUUCAUGGGCUGUUCAGGCUUUGCCUGCUCGGGCUGCAGACUUUGGCCUUGGCCAGGAACAGGUCUAACUGCUUUGGUUUGUUUCUUUCAGAAGCCCAGCCCUUGUGUCCAGCGGGGACGGCCCUUUCCUGCUCCCACCUGCCUGAAAUCAGGAAGCUUCUUUUCCAGGUUCACCAUUGCUGCAAACUUUCUUCGGGUCACCUUAGCCAACCCACUCUGUGUUUUUUCCCCCUUGAUGGCAUAGUUUCAUGGUCUCCAUGCUACCAAACCCUAAUAUCGAAGUAUUGCACACUGAGACCCAAUAUGAGGUGAAGCCUAUGGUGUAUUAGUUAUACGCCCUUACACCUACAUGGAAACAUGGAGACAUACAACGAGAUAAGUGUUACAUGUGUGAGUGCCCUGGAUCCAUCUCACAUUUGUCCAAGGCAGCAUCAUGGCAUCAAUGUAUUCCGUGUCUACUGGCCAGGCAACUUCAUGUCUUGGCCUCUUCCCUUCCCCACCCAGCUGAAUGGGAAAUGGCUCUAGCUGCUGCUUCAUUGUCAAGUUCCUAAAUCAAAU